This 419-nucleotide ribosomal RNA is filed under the name Gulella disseminata. Its description in RNAcentral is "partial 16S ribosomal RNA". Lineage: Eukaryota; Metazoa; Mollusca; Gastropoda; Stylommatophora; Streptaxidae. The record is from RNAcentral.
AAUUUUAUGAUUUUAAUAUAAAACGAAUUCUGCCCAAUGAUUUUUUUAAUGGCCGCAGUACUUUGACUGUGCUAAGGUAGCAUAAUAAAUUGGCUUUUAAAUGGAGUCUAGAAUGAAAGAAUAUUUGAGGAAAAAUUGUCUCUCUUUAUAUUUUUAUGAAUUUCUUUAAAUUGGUGAAAAGACCUAUUUUUCUAAGAAAGACGAGAAGACCCUUAGAAUUUUUUAAAUUUGUUUUUUUAGUUGGGGUGACAUAUUAACAUUUUGAACUUUCUUUUUUUACAAGACGAUGAAAUAAGCUUGAAAAAAUUACCUUAGGGAUAACAGCAUAAUAAUUCUAUUUGAUUAUGACCUCGAUGUUGGACUAGGAACCUAAUAAUUAGUAAUUAUAUUGGUUAGUUCUGUUCGAACUUUUUUUUCCU